This 6671-nucleotide long non-coding RNA is filed under the name Sorghum bicolor (sorghum). RNAcentral describes it as "long non-coding RNA (SBIC_LNC016271)". Lineage: Eukaryota; Viridiplantae; Streptophyta; Magnoliopsida; Poales; Poaceae. The record is from RNAcentral.
CCGGAUCCCAGCGGGCCGCCAGCGUGGCACAGUGCCCUUUUCUUUUUUUUCUUUUUGUUUAAAAGUGCUUAAUGUUUGAAUUUGAAUGGUGAAUUCUGUGCUGAUCCAAAAAUAAUGAGAAUUUUUGUACAAACUCUCUGAAAUAUGUAGGAUCCAAGAAAAAUACUAGGUUCUGCUUUCUAAUAGUUUGCAAGGAUAUAAAAAAAUUGGCUCUUUUAAUUAGCAAAUAAAACUUUGAUGAAUUUUAGUAAUUUAUUAGGGUGUCCAAAAAUCACCAAAAAUUGUGGGGAGCCUCUGGAUAUUAUUCCCUGGCUCCACCCAAAAUUUGGUGGCAUUUGGAUAAUGUUUGUUUAAAAUAUUAAUAAACCCUUAUUUAGCACUUAAAUAAUAAUUCCAAAAUAAGUAGAUAGUGAUUAAUUAAAUCCUCAUAAUUAGGGUUGAGUGAUUUUGGGAUUGUGUGAUGACCUGAGGUCAUUAACCCUAAUGACCUUGGCACUUAAUUAUUGUUUAGCCUUAAUGCUUAAUUACUGUCAUUAGUAGUUAAUUAAGAAUUGAUUAAGGUAAAUAGGAUUAAUAAUUAGUUAAUUCAGGAUAAUUAGGAAUUAAAAGGAGUUUUAAUUUACUGAUGCAAUCUCUUGGGUAAAAACAGUAAAUUGUUAAACAACUUUAUUUAGUGACAAUUCUGUAUUGCAUUAAAAAGGCAAAUCGUACUUAAUUCGGUCCAUCUUGCAUAACUGCCAUACGCAUAUCAUAAGCAUUCAUCAUUUUGCGUAUAGUGUCCGUGACCGAAGGAGCGCCCGUUGAACCGAACCCCGAGGUCGGUGCUCCAUUCGAAGAAGUAGGAUCCGAGACUUGGGAAGUCUCCGAGGGUCCCUCUCUGCCCUGCAACCAAGGCAAGCCCCGGAUGCAUUAACCCCUCCUUGGAUAUUUUAAAUCUUUUAUCACUUAUGAAUUGAAAAUGCUGCAUUAGGUAGUUGAGAAUUGGGUUAACCUACUUGCUGCAUUUACUACCUUGACAUCUGUUAUCCUGUCCUUGACACCUGUUUUAUUUUAAAACUGCGUAGCGAUGCUUAGCCCUGCUACUAGAUAGGUUUUCAAACAAGAAAGUUUGAAGGGUUGUUGUGGGAUACACUUAUGAUCAAUGAUGUUUCAAUUUGAGACCGGUCGGUGGACUUGCUCUAAGAAUGGAGUCUUAAAGUAGUGUCUCCGACAGUGUCGAUUAAGGACCGUUCCGUUGAUGGCCUGCUGGGUUGAGAAUUUAUAGUACUAACCGCUUGCCCUCGGUAAGCCCAGUCUUGUGAUCCCUCGACGCGAACAGCUACUCGCGCACUGGGAGUGGAAAGAUGGCGAGAGUAGUGUGUACCCACCUUACGGAUCUGAGAUGACCGGAAAACAUCUAGAUCGGCUGUAGGAUGGUGGAGUACUGUGCUCUCGGGUGCCGCGAACCUGGUCAAAUUUGGGGAGAGCUNNNNNNNNNNNNNNNNNNNNNNNNNNNNNNNNNNNNNNNNNNNNNNNNNNNNNNNNNNNNNNNNNNNNNNNNNNNNNNNNNNNNNNNNNNNNNNNNNNNNAGAUGACAAGUGUCAUAUGGAAUCUUGCUUUGGUCUAUUUGGAGACAGUUUGUUUUGGUGCAAGAUAGGUACACAGUUUGUGCCUAAUGCACCAUAGACUAAGAAACCAUUUUGGACGCACGCGAUGGUACUCAUAGGUAAAGGGGCUCAAGUGGAAGCUUGGUUUGGAGAUAGUGCUAAUCUUGAUGCAUGAUAGGUGCACGAAUUGCAUGGAACGUAGCAUAUGCUUAGAAAUCUAUUUGGAGGCACCCGAUGGAACUCCUAGAUGACAUGUAUCAUAUAGAAUCACAGUUUGAUCUCUUUGGAGAUAGUGUUAGUUUCGGUGCAAGAUAGGUGCACAGUUUGCGCCUAAUGCACCAUAGGCUCAGAAACCAUUGUGGAAGCAUCGGAUGAUACUCCUAGGUGAAGAGGAUGAUGUGGAAGCUUGGUUUAGUCUGUCUGGAGAUAGUGCUAAUCUUGAUGUAAGAUAGGUGCACGGUUUACAUGGAACAUACCAUAUCCUUAGAAAUCAAUUUGUACGAACCCAAUAGAACUCUUAGAUGAUGUGGGUCAUAUGGAUCUCACUUGGUCUAUUUAGAGACAAUGUUAGUUUCAGUGCAAGAUAGGUGCACGGUUGCACAUAAUGCACCAUAGUCUAAGAAACCAUUUUGGACACACCUGGUGGUACUCCUUGGUGAAGAGGCUCACGUGGAAGCUUGGUUCAGUCUGUUUAGAGAUAGUUCUAAUCUUGAUGCAAGAUAGACGCACGGUUUGCAUGGAACGUACCAUAUGCUCAGAAAUCAAUUUGGACACACCCAAUGGAACAGCUAGAUGCACCUAAUGGAACUAAUAGAUGAAGUCUGUCAUAUGGAAUCUCGGUUCGGUCCAGUUGGAGAUAGUAUUAGUUUCGGUGCAAGAUAGGUGCGUGGUUUGUGCCUAGUGCACCAUAGGCUCAGAAACUAUUGUAGAAGUUUCCAAUGGUACUCCUAGGUGAAGAGGCUCAAGUGAAAGCUCAGUUCUGUCUAUUUGGAGAUAGUGCUAAUCUUGAUGCAAGAUAGGUGUACGGUUUGCAUGGAAUGUACCAUAUUCUCAUAAAUCAAUUUGUACGCAACUGAUAGAACUCCUAGUUGAUGUGUGUCAUAUGGAAUCUCGCUUCGGUCUGUUUGGAAUCAGUGUUAGUUUUGAUGCAAGAUAGGUGCACAGUUUGCGCCUAAUGCACCAUAGGCUCAGAAACCAUUGUGGAAGCACCCGAUGAGACUCCUAGGUGAAGAGGCUCAAGUGGAAGCUCGGUUUGGUCUGCUUGGAGAUAGUGCUAAUUUUGAUGCAUGAUAAGUGCUUGGUUUGCAUGGAACAUACCAUAUGCUCAGAAAUUAAUUUAGACACAACUAAUAGAACUCUUAAUGACAUAUGUCAUAUGGAAUCUCACUUCGGUCUAUUUGGAGAUAGUGUUAGUUUUGGUGAAGAUAGGUGCACGGUUUGCACCUAAUGCGCUAGAGGCUAAGAAAACAUUUAGGGCGCACGCGAUGGUACUCCUAGGUAAAGGGGCUCAAGUGGAAGCUCGGUUUGGAGAUAGUGCUAAUCUUGAUGAAAGAUAGGUGCAUGAAUUGCAUGGAAUGUACCUUAGAAAUCUAUUUGGAAGCACCCAAUAGAACUCCUAGAUGACGUGUGUCAUAUAGAAUCUCACUUCGGUCUCUUUGGAGAUAGUGUUAGUUUCGGUGCAAGAUAGGUAUGCCUAAUGCACCAUAGGCUAAGAAACCGUUUUGGACGCACGUGAUGUUACUCCUAGGUAGAGGGGCUCAAGUAGAAGCUCGAUUUGGAUAUAGUGUUAAUCUUGAUGUAAGAUAGGUGCACGGUUUGCUUGGAACGUUCCAUAUGCUCGGAAAUCAAUUUCGACGCACCUGAUAGAACUCCUAGAUAAUGUGAGUCAUAUAGAAUCUCGCUUCGGUCCUUUUGGAGACAAUGUUAGUAUCUAUACAAGAUAGGUACACGGUUUGCGCCUAAUGCACCAUAAGCUCAGACACCAUUGUGGAAGCACCCGAUGAUACUCCUAGGUGAAGAGGCUGAUGUGGAAGCUCGGUUCGGUCUGUUUGGAGAUAGUGCUAAUCUUGAUGUAAGAUAGGUGCACGGUUUUCAUGUAACAUACCAUAUGCCUAGAAAUCAAUUUAUACGCACCCAAUAGAACUCUUAGAUGAUGUGUGUGUAACAUCCCUGAUGUUACGGUUACUAAAAAUGGAUCAUGUCAUCACGAGCAUUGCAAAUCAUAUUUGUUAAAGUACAUUAGUAUGCAUCAACUUAAAACAAGUUUAUUUUUAUUGCUUGAGCUUAGGGAGGUAGAGUGUGUUUAUGUGGGAUGUUGAUGCUUGUGUGGUUGCUAAAAACCCUAGGGUGGAAUUUUUUUCCGAAAAGCUAAGGGGGGGAAAACCCUGAUUUCUGGAUCCUAGAUUUGUCCCCUUUUGCAUAAGUCAAAAACUAAGCAAAAUUUGAGGUUGAGUUCAAAAGAAAAGUUGUAGCUCUUGGCAAGAUGUACAACUUUGGUGUUUUGAGUUUUUGAGGUUUCAAUACAAGAUUCAAAGUAAUUUUGAAAAUACAGAUUUCCGAAAAGUGUCCCCUUUUCCAACUUAAACCCCCAAUUCAAAAUCCAUUUGGAAUUUUGAAAAGUGGUCAACAUGAAAGUUGUAGAGCACAAAAAUUUGAGCAACUUUCAUGUUGGGAGUUUUUCAAGUUGUUAUGCCAAAUCAAAAGUAAUUUUGGAAAUCAUGAUUUGCCCCAAUUCAAAAAUUUGAAUUUCCUUUGAAUUGAGUUGAUUUUCAAACUGCCUGGCAAAAUUAACCUUUUUCCUUUGAGAAUCAGCUUGGGACACCUAAAUAUGAUUUGUAGCUUACAAAAUUUGGCACAACUUUUGUUUUGGUGGAAAUUUGACUUUAGUUCAAAUUUUGGUCGGAUUUCGCAAAAAGACAAACUGAAUGGAUGUGGCCUGCUACAGUGUUUGGCAGGGGGGGUGCUCUGCCGCCGCGGCAGAGCCGCCUCCGCGCGCGACGCCAUGCAGCUGGCCACGCAGCUGCUUGCUGCUGUGCUUCGCGCAGACGGCCUCAUCCACAUCCCCUGUUCCGCCGCUUGGAUAAAGCCUCGGACGGCCGGAGUGUUUCUUUUUCUUCCUUUGAACCUCACCGCCGACCACCACCAUCCGCCGCAAAAAUUCGUCCUCUCCGUUGCCUUUCCACGCGAUUUGAGCACCCCAGCGACUCCGCCUUGAGCUCCGCCACCGGUUGCACCCCCACGCACAAGCUAUAACCCACCCGCGCCCUCUACCGAGCCAUUUCCUUCCAACUCCGGCCAAAGCGCCGCCGGGAGCACUUCACCGUGGCCAGCUUCACCCCGCGCCUCCCCGCUGCUGUUUCUUGCUUCGUUGAAGUCACGGUGAGCUUCUGGUGCUGUUGCGCCGCUUACUUCACGCUCUACUCGCCUGAAGCGGCCGACGUUGGCUCGGCCGCGGCGGCCAUCCGCCAUGAGCGUGGACAGGGAGGGUAGGAGGGAGUAGAGGUGGUCUCGUGUGUCCUAGAGGUUGCGUGAGACACCGGAGAUGCUAACCCACCCCGCCGCGCAGGCCGGGAGCUCACCGGCGCGGAGCCGGAGCUCACCGGAGCGGUGGUGGGAGGUUGAAGACGCCUCUGACGGGCGGGACCCGCCCGUCAGUGGCCGCGUAAAAGAGAGCGCGCGCGCGGUCCGCGCGGGAGAGCACUCUCGGGCCAACUUGGGCCGGAUCCCAGCGGGCCGCCAGCGUGGCACAGUGCCCUUUUCUUUUUUUUCUUUUUGUUUAAAAGUGCUUAAUGUUUGAAUUUGAAUGGUGAAUUCUGUGCUGAUCCAAAAAUAAUGAGAAUUUUUGUACAAACUCUCUGAAAUAUGUAGGAUCCAAGAAAAAUACUAGGUUCUGCUUUCUAAUGGUUUGCAAGGAUAUAAAAAAAUUGGCUCUUUUAAUUAGCAAAUAAAACUUUGAUGAAUUUUAGUAAUUUAUUGCGGUGUCCAAAAAUCACCAAAAAUUGUGGGGAGCCUCUGGAUAUUAUUCCCUGGCUCCACCCAAAAUUUGGUGGCAUUUGGAUAAUGUUUGUUUAAAAUAUUAAUAAACCCUUAUUUAGCACUUAAAUAAUAAUUCCAAAAUAAGUAGAUAGUGAUUAAUUAAAUCCUCAUAAUUAGGGUUGAGUGAUUUUGGGAUUGUGUGAUGACCUGAGGUCAUUAACCCUAAUGACCUUGGCACUUAAUUAUUGUUUAGCUUUAAUGCUUAAUUACUGUCAUUAGUAGUUAAUUAAGAAUUGAUUAAGGUAAAUAGGAUUAAUAAUUAGUUAAUUCAGGAUAAUUAGGAAUUAAAAGGAGUUUUAAUUUACUGAUGCAAUCUCUUGGGUAAAAACAGUAAAUUGUUAAACAACUUUAUUUAGUGACAAUUCUGUAUUGCAUUAAAAAGGCAAAUCGUACUUAAUUCGGUCCAUCUUGCAUAACUGCCAUACGCAUAUCAUAAGCAUUCAUCAUUUUGCGUAUAGUGUCCGUGACCGAAGGAGCGCCCGUUGAACCGAACCCCGAGGUCGGUGCUCCAUUCGAAGAAGUAGGAUCCGAGACUUGGGAAGUCUCCGAGGGUCCCUCUCUGCCCUGCAACCAAGGCAAGCCCCGGAUGCAUUAACCCCUCCUUGGAUAUUUUAAAUCUUUUAUCACUUAUGAAUUGAAAAUGCUGCAUUAGGUAGUUGAGAAUUGGGUUAACCUACUUGCUGCAUUUACUACCUUGACAUCUGUUAUCCUGUCCUUGACACCUGUUUUAUUUUAAAACUGCGUAGCGAUGCUUAGCCCUGCUACUAGAUAGGUUUUCAAACAAGAAAGUUUGAAGGGUUGUUGUGGGAUACACUUAUGAUCAAUGAUGUUUCAAUUUGAGACCGGUCGGUGGACUUGCUCUAAGAAUGGAGUCUUAAAGUAGUGUCUCCGACAGUGUCGAUUAAGGACCGUUCCGUUGAUGGCCUGCUGGGUUGAGAAUUUAUAGUACUAACCGCUUGCCCUCGGUAAGCCCAGUCUUGUGAUCCCUCGACGCGAACAGCUACUCGCGCACUGGGAGUGGAAAGAUGGCGAGAGUAGUGUGUACCCACC